This 253-nucleotide ribosomal RNA is filed under the name uncultured bacterium. RNAcentral's name for it is "partial 16S ribosomal RNA". It matches the Rfam family "Bacterial small subunit ribosomal RNA", at positions 524 to 776 of the family's 1533-position model. The record is from RNAcentral.
UACGUAGGGUGCAAGCGUUGUCCGGAAUUAUUGGGCGUAAAGAGCUCGUAGGCGGUUUGUCGCGUCUGCUGUGAAAACUCGGGGCUUAACUCCGGGCCUGCAGUGGGUACGGGCAGACUAGAGUGCGGUAGGGGAGACUGGAAUUCCUGGUGUAGCGGUGAAAUGCGCAGAUAUCAGGAGGAACACCGGUGGCGAAGGCGGCUACCUGGACAGAAACUGACGCUGAGGCGCGAAAGCGUGGGGAGCGAACAGG